UACAUAGGCACCAAGCGUUGUCCGGAUUUAUUGGGCGUAAAGGGCUCGUAGGUGGUUCGGUAAGUCGGGUGUGAAAACUUUGGGCUCAACCCAAAGCCUGCAUCCGAUACUGCUGUGACUAGAGUUCGGUAGGGGAGCGGGGAAUUCCUAGUGUAGCGGUGAAAUGCGCAGAUAUUAGGAGGAACACCGGUGGCGAAGGCGCCGCUCUGGGCCGAUACUGACACUGAGGAGCGAAAGCGUGGGUAGCAAACAGGAUUAGAAACCCGGGUAGU
This 272-nucleotide ribosomal RNA is filed under the name uncultured bacterium. Its description in RNAcentral is "partial 16S ribosomal RNA". It matches the Rfam family "Bacterial small subunit ribosomal RNA", at positions 524 to 794 of the family's 1533-position model. The record is from RNAcentral.